Molecule: long non-coding RNA, 1244 nt
Organism: Oryza sativa Japonica Group (Japanese rice)
Lineage: Eukaryota; Viridiplantae; Streptophyta; Magnoliopsida; Poales; Poaceae
Source: RefSeq, a predicted model, not a curated record
CUAAUAUGUAAAACACUCCCCCUCACAACCAAUCCCCCGGCACCCUAUCCCUGCGCUCCCUUCCCCCACCCACGCCAUAAUUCGAGUAAUUUGUUUACUUUAUGUUACCCAACGCUAACAUAUAUAGAUCCUAUUUUUUCGGAUCUAAGAGAGAGAGGUGGUGGCUAGUGGAGCUGUUGAGCACCGACGCCCCUGGCUAGGAACGGCGGCAGAUCUGGCGGCUCGGUGCGAAAGCUGAACGGCGGCAGUUACAAGCCCGGCCGUCCUCCAGGCGCGGUGAUCCUCCACCGCCGGCCGACCUCAUCCCCAUCCUUUCUCCCGCCGUCUGGUCGCCGCUAUUUGAGGUGCGCCGGGCGGUGGCUCGGUGGAGCGGUUGAGCGACGGCUGUCGGCUAGGAGCAGCGACAGAGUUGGAAGCUCGGUGCAGAAGGUGAACGGCGACGGUGACAAGCCGGCCGUCCUCCAUUCGUGGCAAUCCAUCACCAUCGGCCAACCUCAUCCCCGUCUUCUCUCUUGCCGUCUGGUCGUCGCCAUUCGAGAUGUGUCGCCCGGGUUCGUCGUCGCUGCAUAAUCCACCUGCCGGCCUGGAUCUGCCCUCCCUCUCUGGCGCACCUGCCGCUUGUCUCCUCUCACUGCUGUCGUCGAGGGGAUGGGGCCCUUCCGGCCGCCCUCCUCCCAGGUAUAGGGCGUCACUAUCCUCAUCCAGGAAGAUGCAGGUGGUUGAUCCUGGCUAUUGUUCUUCGUGGUCGUGGGUAACCUGCUUCUGCUGAGGAGAAGAUCUGGAGAUUCUCAUGUCCUUUUGUCUCAGUUCUGGAUUGCUGCAACAAUGUGUCUAUGCUUGCGUUUUCUUGAUCUAGAUCUCGAGGCGAGACCGUACUGGUGUUAUUGCAUUUAAUUUGUUUUUUUUCCCGAUUCUUGGGUAAAUGCUUCACUUGGGCUUGUUGAGUUUCCAGGAAAGAGAUCCAGGAGGGGAGCACUUUGUGGGGUGAUUUAUCCUUGAUUCUAAAAUGGGAGGAUAGCUGGCACCAGCGUGGUGGUGGUGUUUUUCUUGGAUCACGAUGAAUAUGUGUAUUUGUCUAGUUGUGGUGUUUGGCGAGUUGGGAUGUUACGUGCAGCAGUAUUUUUCUCUUUUUUCCCCUUAUCAUGAGAAUAUGUGUAUUUUGUCUCCCAUGUGUAAUUUUGUUGGUCACUUGAUAGAACAAAAAUUCAAUUAUUAUGACAUAACCAUGUUCUUGUUCUUGUUAA